AGUGAACGCUGGCGGUAGGCCUAACACGUGCAAGUCGAACGGCAGCACAGUAAGAGCUUGCUCUUACGGGUGGCGAGUGGCGGACGGGUGAGGAAUACAUCGGAAUCUACUUUUUCGUGGGGGAUAACGUAGGGAAACUUACGCUAAUACCGCAUACGACCUACGGGUGAAAGCAGGGGAUCUUCGGACCUUGCGCGAUUGAAUGAGCCGAUGUCGGAUUAGCUAGUUGGCGGGGUAAAGGCCCACCAAGGCGACGAUCCGUAGCUGGUCUGAGAGGAUGAUCAGCCACACUGGAACUGAGACACGGUCCAGACUCCUACGGGAGGCAGCAGUGGGGAAUAUUGGACAAUGGGCGCAAGCCUGAUCCAGCCAUACCGCGUGGGUGAAGAAGGCCUUCGGGUUUUAAAGCCCUUUUGUUGGGAAAGAAAAGCAGCAGGUUAAUACCCCGCUGUUCUGACGGUACCCAAAGAAUAAGCACCGGCUAACUUCGUG
This 492-nucleotide ribosomal RNA is filed under the name uncultured bacterium. RNAcentral's name for it is "partial 16S ribosomal RNA". It matches the Rfam family "Bacterial small subunit ribosomal RNA", at positions 29 to 507 of the family's 1533-position model. The record is from RNAcentral.